This is a long non-coding RNA of Phaethon lepturus (White-tailed tropicbird), 208 nucleotides long. RefSeq lists it as uncharacterized. The transcript is spliced from 3 exons. NCBI's taxonomy places the organism in Eukaryota, Metazoa, Chordata, Aves, Phaethontiformes, Phaethontidae. The record is from RefSeq and is a predicted model, not a curated record.
GAGUCUGUAACAGACUACACUACACCUUCUUCUCAUCCUAACACAGUGGCUACUAGCAGUACAAAAAUGGAGGAGACUUUGGUGACGAACGUGCCCCUGCCCCACACCCUUCCCCUCCCUAGGAGGGAGACUCUACAACAGAGCUCCAGCCUAACUCCAGUUUCUCCCGCUACCGUCGACCUCACCCUCAAGAUGGAGUCUGCACGCA